RNAcentral lists this ribosomal RNA (1153 nucleotides) under Paratrichodorus minor. Its description in RNAcentral is "SSU rRNA". It matches the Rfam family "Eukaryotic small subunit ribosomal RNA", at positions 39 to 1200 of the family's 1831-position model. The record is from RNAcentral. Lineage: Eukaryota; Metazoa; Nematoda; Enoplea; Triplonchida; Trichodoridae.
AAAGAUUAAGCCAUGCAUGUCUAUGCACACGCCCUUGAUUGGUGAAGCCGCGAAAAGCUCAUUACAACAGCCAUAGUUUAUUGGAUCUUUACGUUCCUACAAGGAUAUCUGCGGUAAUUCUGGAGCUAAUACUUGCGAAAAACGGCGACCUUACGGAAGUCGUGCAUUUGUUAGACUAAACCAAUCGGUCCUUCGGGACCGUCAUUUGGUGAACUCUGAAUAACUCAGCUGAUCGCACAGUCUCGUACUGGCGACAAAUCCUUCAAGUGUCUGCCUUAUCAACUGUCGAUGGUAGUUUACACGACUACCAUGGUUGUAACGGGUAACGGAGAAUAAGGGUUCGACUCCGGAGAGGGAGCCUGAGAAACGGCUACCACAUCCAAGGAAGGCAGCAGGCGCGCAAAUUACCCACUCUCAGAACGAGGAGGUAGUGACGAAAAAUAACGAGGUGGCCCUCUUUGAGGUCCAUCAUCGGAAUGGGUACAAUUUAAAUCCUUUAACGAGGAUCUAUUGGAGGGCAAGUCUGGUGCCAGCAGCCGCGGUAAUUCCAGCUCCAAUAGCGUAUACUAAAGUUGUUGCGGUUAAAAAGCUCGUAGUUGGAUCUGCGCCAGGUGGAAGCGGUCGCCCGAUGGGUUGUUACUGCUUACCUCUGGCUAACCAUUCGGUUUUCCCUUGAUGCUCUUAAGUGAGUGUCCUGGGUGACCGGAACGUUUACUUUGAAAAAAUUAGAGUGCUCAAAGCAGGCAUUUCGCCCGAAUAUUCGUGCAUGGAAUAAUAAAAGAGGUCCUUGUAGCCUUUUAUUGGUUAUCGCUACGAGGAAAUGAUCGAAGGGGACAGACGGGGGCAUUUGUAUUGCGACGUUAGAGGUGAAAUUCUUGGAUCGUCGCAAAACAAACUACUGCGAAAGCAUUUGCCAAGAAUGUUUUCAUCAAUCAAGAACGAAAGUCUGAGGUUCGACAGCGAUCAGAUACCGCUUUAGUUCAGACCGUAAACGAUGCCAUCUGGCGAUCCGCCGGCGUUAUGUUUGACCCGGCGGGCAGCCACCGGUAAACCUUUAAGUUGGGUUCCGGGGGAAGUAUGGUUGCAAAGCUGAAACUUAAAGGAAUUGACGGAAGGGCACCACCAGGAGUGGAGCCUGCGGCUUAAUUUGACU